UACAGAGGUCUCAAGCGUUGUUCGGAUUCAUUGGGCGUAAAGGGCGCGUAGGCGGCGGGGUAAGUCGGGUGUGAAAUCCCACGGCUCAACCGUGGAAGUGCACUCGAAACUGCGCAGCUAGAGUCCUGGAGAGGAAGGUGGAAUGCUUGGUGUAGAGGUGAAAUUCGUAGAUAUCAAGCGGAACACCGGUGGCGAAGGCGGCCUUCUGGACAGUGACUGACGCUGAGAUGCGAAAGCGUGGGGAGCAAACAGG
Molecule: ribosomal RNA, 253 nt
Filed under: uncultured bacterium
Lineage: Bacteria
Description: partial 16S ribosomal RNA
Rfam family: Bacterial small subunit ribosomal RNA
Source: RNAcentral